UACGGGGGGAGCAAGCGUUGUUCGGAUUUACUGGGCGUAAAGGGCGCGUAGGCGGCGUAACAAGUCACUUGUGAAAUCUCCGGGCUUAACCCGGAGCGGCCAAGUGAUACUGUUGUGCUAGAGUGCGGAAGGGGCUACUGGAAUUCUCGGUGUAGCGGUGAAAUGCGUAGAUAUCGAGAGGAACACCUGUGGCGAAGGCGGGUAGCUGGGCCGACACUGACGCUGAGGCGCGAAAGCCAGGGGAGCGAACGGG
RNAcentral lists this ribosomal RNA (253 nucleotides) under uncultured bacterium. Its description in RNAcentral is "partial 16S ribosomal RNA". It matches the Rfam family "Bacterial small subunit ribosomal RNA", at positions 524 to 776 of the family's 1533-position model. The record is from RNAcentral.